UUUUGUCUAGGGUAACAUUGUGGCUUUUCUGUGCAAUUCAAGUUUCCUCCGUAGUUGUAAAUUGAAUAUAAUUCGUUAUACAGUGAGUCGGUUCAGUUGCGCGACAAAGGUUUGUUGGACUGGAAACAACCACGCGCAAAGCUGAAGUUUAUCAAAGUCGUCAAUUGUUCCAGAUAGUUUGUGACAUGUGGUUUCAAUGAAAAAGAGAAUUUCACAAAUGACAGUUCAAUUAUACGUACUUACUGAAUCGAUUUUCUCCUCCUCCACUCUCAAUGUACAAUUAUUACACGGUAAUUCUCUGCUUUCGAGUUCCAGCUCAAACACAAACGAUUAAUUUAAUACUCAACGAGCCGUUGUCCAUUAUGGUUCUGAGGAUGAAUUGAAAAAUCAUUGAGUUACGAAAAAAAAAGAUAGGCUUCAGGCAAAGAGAUCUUUGCGCGAACCGAGCAGCGCUCAAGUUUCAUAUAGCUAUUGUGGCAGAAGAUCAGUUGGACAGGGAACCUACAGCUUCACUUGCAGUUCAGCACAGAGCGCACCCGGACACACGAUUUAUGAGGAAACUUGCUCGUUUCCAAGCAACUUUUGAGUUAUCAAACUUGCUUAAAACGGCUUGCCAGAACACCCGGUUCAUCCUUCAUUUUUAAAGUGUGGGAUUUCAGAUAAAUUUUGGGGAGACGUCGCUUGUGAUCCAGAAAGAUUAUCCCUCUGUCCUAUCUCUGUCAGUAGAAAGGAUACCACCGUUUAAAGAGGCCGUCCUGAUAAAUUAACGGGAAGCUUCAGCUACAAUGGGGUUCAGUUGUUAAUGGUCCUCCAAAGAUAAAUGGCAAAUGGGACAUAGAGGGAAUACGAUGAAUGAGAGACAGUGAAGUAGGUUUCACCCAAAUUAACGACAGAUUCUGCGCACGAAAAACUCGGACGAUGAAUCGAUUUUGACGAAUCCUCAAAUUUACAUUGCCAUCGCUUUACAUCCCUUCAGGAUCAUGACGUCCUAACUGCGAUUCACGGUUGAGAAAUAUAGGCUCAUCCGUUGUGGCACAAGCCAGAGUAAACCUCAAUGAGCGCAGGUGUGCGAAGAGAAAAUUAUAUACGAAAACACAAAUUACCGAGGUAACUUAGCAACUGGGCACUACGCAAUGUUUGACGUCAUUUUUUCGACGUCUUUUUUUGAGAGAUGAUGGAGAUCAUUUUUGUAGGACGCCAUCUAGAAGCUGGGGAUUCUAUUGAAUUUAGUAGAGCCCUAAUUAUCUCUAAGAUUGAAGUUGUAUUAUUUACCAAGUCUCUGCCACCAUAGAGUAACAAACUACUAUACCUUUGAUGUGUUUUUUUUUUUUGGAUUUCGCGCUCCUUGAAACAAUUUCAUAAUGUUCAAACUCGAAAUUACUACUAAAACGCUUGUCCUCCAAUUGCUAUCAUAAAUUUAAUACUACACGUAACUCAAAUGGUAACUUUUUUGAUUCAUAGGAAUUUUCUCAAGUUCUGAUGGUACCCGUAGGAAUUAAUAUUCUGAAUUAUCAUUAAAUACUUGGCCUCGAAUUAAUAUCAUAAGUUUUAAUGCUGAACAUAA
RNAcentral lists this long non-coding RNA (1564 nucleotides) under Venturia canescens. RNAcentral's name for it is "uncharacterized LOC122411906, transcript variant X1". Lineage: Eukaryota; Metazoa; Arthropoda; Insecta; Hymenoptera; Ichneumonidae. The record is from RNAcentral.